AAGCCCGACAUGCUACGCCGUCUGGUGGAUGACCAGGCUUGAGCGCUGAAGAAGGGCGCGGCAAGCAGCGAAAUGCCUCGGGUAGCUGCAUGCAAGCUUAGAUCCGAGGAUGCCUGAAUGAGACUUCUUGCGACGGACUCCCACGGGACUCCG
Molecule: ribosomal RNA, 153 nt
Filed under: Candidatus Bathyarchaeota archaeon
Lineage: Archaea; Thermoproteati; Candidatus Bathyarchaeota
Description: partial 23S ribosomal RNA
Rfam family: Archaeal large subunit ribosomal RNA
Source: RNAcentral